RNAcentral lists this transfer RNA (70 nucleotides) under Dallia pectoralis (Alaska blackfish). RNAcentral describes it as "tRNA-OTHER". The record is from RNAcentral. Lineage: Eukaryota; Metazoa; Chordata; Actinopteri; Esociformes; Umbridae.
GAGUUGGUAGAUCAGUGGUAGAGUGCAUGGAUUGUAUGUAUGAUGUCCUGGGUUCAAUCCUAGCCUGCCA